UGGGGAAUUUUGGACAAUGGGCGAAAGCCUGAUCCAGCAAUGCCGCGUGUGUGAAGAAGGCCUUCGGGUUGUAAAGCACUUUUGUCCGGAAAGAAAUCCUUGGCUCUAAUACAGUCGGGGGAUGACGGUACCGGAAGAAUAAGCACCGGCUAACUACGUGCCAGCAGCCGCGGUAAUACGUAGGGUGCAAGCGUUAAUCGGAAUUACUGGGCGUAAAGCGUGCGCAGGCGGUUUGCUAAGACCGAUGUGAAAUCCCCGGGCUCAACCUGGGAACUGCAUUGGUGACUGGCAGGCUAGAGUAUGGCAGAGGUGGGUAGAAUUUCCCACGUGUAGCAGUGAAAUGCGUAGAGAUGUGGAGGAAUACCGAUGGCGAAGGCAGCCCCCCUGGGCCAAUACUGACGCUCAUGCACGAAAGCGUGGGGAGCAAACAGGAUUAGAUACCCUGGUAGUCCACGCCCUAAACGAUGUCAACUAGUUGUUGGGGAUUCAUUUCCUUAGUAACGUAGCUAACGCGUGAAGUUGACCGCCUGGGGGAGUACGGUCGCAAGAUUAAAACUCAAAGGAAUUGACGGGGUCAUAGCUGUUUCCU
Molecule: ribosomal RNA, 589 nt
Filed under: uncultured bacterium
Lineage: Bacteria
Description: partial 16S ribosomal RNA
Rfam family: Bacterial small subunit ribosomal RNA
Source: RNAcentral